GUAAGAGUUGUCUGUGCUUCUGGAGGAUGGAUUCAGAAUGUGGUUUGCACUCAAGCUUUCUGCCUGUGCACUUCGCCUGCUGUAGCUGAUGUGUGAACCCGAGUGAUCAUUUUGGUUGUCCUGUAAUUUACUGUGCAUGUGUCUGGCACCUGAAGACACAGUCCCCAAAUAAAGGACUUGUAAUUAACAAUGGAGGGAGCUUUCACUGGGGCAAGACAGGUCCACUGCUGUGUUUUCUCCAGACUUCCAAGGGAUAUGCCAGAGGCACCAUUACUGCAGCAGUUUAAGAACAGAGUUGUGGAUGGGGAAGUGACUAGCCCUACAGAUGAAGGCAAGCAGCCUGGAUUAGCACCAGUCUGCAUUUUCGUGUAUGGAGCAUUGUGUACUGUGACACUGUUUGAAAACAGUUUAACUGUUCAGUGGUGCUGGAAAAUAACUCCUCUUUUUGAAGUUGUUAGACACAUAACGUGGGAAAGCCUUGCAUUCAGUUAAUCAAUAAACUCCUAAUCUGUA
Long non-coding RNA from Chelonia mydas (Green sea turtle), 513 nucleotides. RefSeq lists it as uncharacterized. The record is from RefSeq and is a predicted model, not a curated record. The transcript is spliced from 2 exons. NCBI's taxonomy places the organism in Eukaryota, Metazoa, Chordata, Testudines, Cheloniidae.